CAACAGGGAUUGCCUUAGUAACGGCGAGUGAAGCGGCAACAGCUCAAAUUUGAAAUCUGGCCCUCGGGUCCGAAUUGUAAUUUGUAGAGGAUGAUUUUGGUGCGGUAUCUUCCGAGUUCCUUGGAACAGGACGCCUUAGAGGGUGAGAGCCCCGUACGGUUGAAUGCCUAGCCUCUGUAAAUCUCCUUCGACGAGUCGAGUAGUUUGGGAAUGCUGCUCUAAAUGGGAGGUAAAUUUCUUCUAAAGCUAAAUAUUGGCCAGAGACCGAUAGCGCACAAGUAGAGUGAUCGAAAGAUGAAAAGCACUUUGAAAAGAGGGUUAAAUAGCACGUGAAAUUGUUGAAAGGGAAGGAUUUGUGACCAGACUUUUUCUGGGCGGAUCAUCCGGGGUUCUCUCCGGUGCACUUUGCCCAGUAAAGGCCAGCAUCGAUUUUCGGCGGCGGAUAAAAGCAGUGGGAAUGUGGCUCCCUACGGGGAGUGUUAUAGCCCAUUGUAUAAUACGCUGCUGGGGAUCGAGGUACGCGCUUCUGCAAGGAUGCUGGCGUAAUGGUUAUCAAUCACCCGUCUUGAAACACGGACCAAGGAGUCGAACAUUUAUGCGAGUGUUUGGGUGUUAAACCCUCACGCGUAAUGAAAGUGAACGGAGGUGAGAGCCCGUACGGGUGCAUCAUCGACCGAUCCUGAAGUUUUCGGAUGGAUUUGAGUAAGAGCAUAACUGUUCGGACCCGAAAGAUGGUGAACUAUGCGUGGAUAGGGUGAAGCCAGAGGAAACUCUGGUGGAGGCUCGCAGCGGUUCUGACGUGCAAAUCGAUCGUCAAAUCUGCGCAUGGGGG
Molecule: ribosomal RNA, 832 nt
Filed under: Pestalotiopsis neolitseae
Lineage: Eukaryota; Fungi; Ascomycota; Sordariomycetes; Amphisphaeriales; Sporocadaceae
Description: partial large subunit ribosomal RNA
Rfam family: Eukaryotic large subunit ribosomal RNA
Source: RNAcentral